Molecule: long non-coding RNA, 208 nt
Organism: Silurus meridionalis
Lineage: Eukaryota; Metazoa; Chordata; Actinopteri; Siluriformes; Siluridae
Exons: 2
Source: RefSeq, a predicted model, not a curated record
CCCCUCUUCAUCUGGACACUGAUCCUCUGGACUCAAGAAUGCAGAGGUCAAGCAACAGUUACUCAGACUCCUGCAGUGAAAUCUGCUCUUCCAGGAGAAAGAGUCACCAUCAACUGUAAAACUAAUCCCCAGGUCUAUCAAGGCUGGGGUUAUCAACCUUUAGCUUGGUAUCAGCAGAAACUUGGAGAAGCUCCUAAACUUCUGAUCA